UGGGUAACCUGCCUCAAAGAGGGGAAUAGCCUCCCGAAAGGGAGAUUAAUAACGCAUAAUAUGUUUAAGUCGCAUGACUUUAACAUCAAAGGAUUUUUCUUUUAGAAAUUCCACUUUGAGAUGGACCCCGCGGCGCAUUAGCUAGUUGGUGAGGUAACGGCUCACCAAGGCAACGAUGCGUAGCCGACCUGAGAGGGUNAUCAGCCACAUUGGAACUGAGACACGGUCCAGACUCGUACGGG
This 242-nucleotide ribosomal RNA is filed under the name uncultured bacterium. Its description in RNAcentral is "partial 16S ribosomal RNA". It matches the Rfam family "Bacterial small subunit ribosomal RNA", at positions 118 to 345 of the family's 1533-position model. The record is from RNAcentral.